AUGCUGCGGAGGAAGAGACCUGUCUGGACGCUGGUGCUGCGGGUGGUCAUGGUGCUCGACCUACUUGGCCUCAUGGGUUCCUACGCAGCCGGGACCUGCCAUGACACCUUCGCCACCAUCUGGGCCGUGGCGCUGGCUUUCCCCGUCUUGGCCUAUAUCACGUUUGCUUUUGUCACCAGCCACCGCAGCGGCGGCGACCCAAGUACCAACACCAGAACCACAGCCACAGGCCGGCACGAAGAGAAGGAGAAGAUCGAGGUGCUGAUGCUGCUGGCGACCUUCGCCGUCACCAUCUCAUACGCCGCCGGGCUGAACCCGCCAGGCGGCUUCUGGACCAGCACCCUGCAGAAGGAUGGCCGCCUUCUUCACCUCGCCGGCGACCCGAUAAUGGAAGAUAGCGCGCUCCGCAGGUACCGGGCCUUCUUCGUCUGCAACACGACGGCGUUCGUCGCCUCCUUGUUCAUCAUCCCGCUCCUCCUGGACAAGAAAUUGAGCAGCAAAAUCUCAGCGCGGUUUCUGGCGGUCUACGGCUUCAUCGCCGUGGCCCUCCUGGGCCUCAUGGGGGCCUAUGCUGCUGGAAGCUGCAGGAAAACUGACAGUACCGUCAAGGUCAUCUUCUUGGCUGCUGCGGUUCCGGCUUGCGUAGGCCUUCAGCUGGCACUUAGUUAUGCCUUCAAUGUGAAACCAAUCGAGGUCAUGCGUGCUUCGUUCUCCGGAUGA
This 720-nucleotide ribosomal RNA is filed under the name Triticum aestivum (bread wheat). RNAcentral's name for it is "partial small subunit ribosomal RNA". The record is from RNAcentral. Lineage: Eukaryota; Viridiplantae; Streptophyta; Magnoliopsida; Poales; Poaceae.